Molecule: non-coding RNA, 75 nt
Organism: Trichonephila inaurata madagascariensis
Lineage: Eukaryota; Metazoa; Arthropoda; Arachnida; Araneae; Nephilidae
Source: the annotation of a GenBank genome assembly
CUCGUUGUAGUGCAAUGGAUAGCACGUUGGGCUUCUAAUCCAAAGGUUGUGUGGGUUCGAAUCCCACCUGUGGGA